ACUUCUUUUAGUGUUCGCAUAGAUUGCACUCAUAGUUUGUUGCUUUUGUAAUUUUUUGGUUUUUAUCCGAAAAAUAAUGAGAAACUAACUGGAAUUAUCAUGAAUGAAAUGACUAUCAAAUAUUUCAAAGGUAUCAUAGUGUAAAAAUAACUUCAGAAGAUCAAGUCAAUUUAGGAUCCUCUCAUAACUACAAAGGUAACUCUGACAAACAAAACUCUUACCUUGGUGGUCUCAUCACUGUUCUUCCUGUUAUGCGUAGGCGUCCUCGGGAAAAUGAAGCUGAAUCAAGGCUUAAUAAUGUCUCAUUUAGUUAUCGUGUGCGACUGAUUGAAGAUGGAAUAACUCGUGAUGUUCCAGUAUGUAUUAAGGGUUUUUUUAUCUUUACACGGAAUCAGAGGGCGUCGAGCUAGAUACGUAAGGGAGUCGUUGCUUUUAACUGGGAAAGCACCUGUCGAUAUGCGUGGAAAACAAAACACAUGACCUCACAGACUUUCAGAGGACACAAAACAGAAUGUGAUUGAGUUCAUUAGGAGUCUUAAAGGGUGAAAAUCUCAUUAUUCCUUGGCAGACUCCAAAAAAAUUUACGUGCCCGAAGAUCUAAAUAUAGUCAAAUUACACAAAAUGUAUUCCGAUCGCAACACUGAUGAUAAAGUUUUCUACUAAACUUUUCGAGGAAUUUUUGAAAGCAACUUUAAUAUAUCGUUUGGCUAUCCACGCAAAGACACGUGCAGUACGUGUGAUACCUUGAAAGCCGACAUAUCUUCACUUACUCUAAAAUUGAAUUCCAUCCCGGAUGAUAAAACGAAGAAGACUGCAAGCAAUGAUUUGGCGAAAAAAAAAAAAUCGUGAAAAGGAGCUUCAUCUAAGAAAAAGUCAUCAACUUUAUAAUCUGAAGCGAAAUUACCGCAAACGUGCCGCAAAGUCUCUGACUAUGGAAAGUAUCACCAUGGAUUUCCAAAAAAAUUUGCCAUGCCCAAACAUCACUACCAAUGAUGUUUACUAUAAACGUCAACUAAAUUUCAUUAGUUUCAGUAUUCACAUUUUGUCAAAUUCAAGAUCUGUAUUUUACACCUACGAUGAAUCUGUUGCUAAGAAAGGAGCUAACGAAGUCUGUUCCAUGCUGUAUCACUUCUUUUAUAAGAUCCUGUCCAUGGAAGUAAAAGAACUAGCAAUUUUUUGUAAUUCGUGCUCAGGAAAAAAUAAAAACUUUACGGUUAUUCGAUUCCUGUAUUACAUGGUUACCAAAAAACCGUUUUGAUACUGUGAAAGUAAUAUUUCCGAUCAGAGGGUAUUCAUAUCUUGAGUGCGAUCGAGACAUGAGUCUUGUAAACCAAAAAGCUUACAAUGAGGUACCGGAUGACUGCAGAGAAGAAUUAAGAAAUUGCCGUGUGAAACCUACACCAUUUGAGGUCAUGGAUCGUGGCAAAAAUUUUGAUUAUCAAAAUGGGAGUACAUUUUUUUCGCCGCUUUAUCCAACAAAGUGCCCCUUCCAGACUCGGUCUAUCAGGAUGCUGAGGUUUCUCAUGAGAAUUCCCGCUUAGUUUUCCACAAAUGCGCUUAUACGGGCUCAUAUAGUAGUUCUAAGUUCGACCAGAAACCGCUUAAGAAGAGCCUAAGAAAGAAACAAGAAGGAAACCAGGAAACGGGAGAGAAAACGCUGAGAAAACUUUAUCAGGGUCCCAUCCCUGUUAAAAUGCCCAAAUGGAAGGAUUUGCAACAUUUGACAUCAUUCCUUGAGAGAGCAGAAGGCAGGUUGUUUUAUCAACAAUUACUAUUUGCUGAACAACCUCAAGAACAGAUCGAUGACGAAUUUGUGGAUGACCCACCAACAGAUUAGUUUGAUGCUGGGGAAAAGUGGCAUGAGUCCACCAACUUUUUUUCUUUUCUGUUACGUCACUAGUUUUGAACUAAUGUUUAUUUUUUUCCAUUUUUUUGUAAUAAUAAACACAUUAUUUACCAAACA
Diorhabda sublineata is the source of this 1963-nucleotide long non-coding RNA. RefSeq lists it as uncharacterized. The transcript is spliced from 2 exons. The record is from RefSeq and is a predicted model, not a curated record. Lineage: Eukaryota; Metazoa; Arthropoda; Insecta; Coleoptera; Chrysomelidae.